This 425-nucleotide ribosomal RNA is filed under the name uncultured bacterium. RNAcentral's name for it is "partial 16S ribosomal RNA". It matches the Rfam family "Bacterial small subunit ribosomal RNA", at positions 354 to 796 of the family's 1533-position model. The record is from RNAcentral.
GUGGGGAAUCUUGCGCAAUGGGCGAAAGCCUGACGCAGCCAUGCCGCGUGAAUGAUGAAGGUCUUAGGAUUGUAAAAUUCUUUCACCGGGGACGAUAAUGACGGUACCCGGAGAAGAAGCUCCGGCUAACUUCGUGCCAGCAGCCGCGGUAAUACGAAGGGGGCCAGCGUUGCUCGGAAUUACUGGGCGUAAAGGGCGCGUAGGCGGACAGCUUAGUCAGAGGUGAAAGCCCAGGGCUCAACCUUGGAAUUGCCUUUGAUACUGGCUGUCUUGAGUUUGGGAGAGGUGAGUGGAACUCCGAGUGUAGAGGUGAAAUUCGUAGAUAUUCGGAAGAACACCAGUGGCGAAGGCGACUCACUGGCCCAAUACUGACGCUGAGGCGCGAAAGCGUGGGGAGCAAACAGGAUUAGAAACCCGGGUAGUCC